ACAAAAACAGUUUCUCCUACCAGAAGUAGUGGAUAAGCCAAUCCGUAGAGGUGAAAAUGCAGGUCCACUAGUGCCAAUAGAACCAAAGAACAAGGUUAGAAAAUGUGAGUUGGCUAUGGAGACCAAGGAAAAUAUAGUGGCCGAUGGCACAAUUACACUUGAAUGUGGUCCCAACUAUCUAGUAGUUGUUGAUGCUUCUUAUGAUUCAAGUGCACCCCUUCCCAUUCCUAUUCCUGGACAAACUACUACUGUUGGGGAUGCAAUUGGUUACCAAGUUUUGUGGCCAGCUCAUUUAGUAAUCAUUCAUACUCUUAUCUCGACAUCCAAGAAAGGAAAGAAACAAAAAUAAAAUGAAGUUGAAGUCAAAUCUAAGGGUGAGAAAGCACAAGAUAUCAAGAAUUUUUAGGCAUUGGUUGGCCUCAUGCUGAGUACCUCAAGAGUACAUCCUAUUGACUUCCCAGAUGAUGUUUUUGGUGAGAGUUUCAAGACCUUCCUAAUGAAAGAAGAUAUGGACAUGAUUAUAUCAUCAAAAGAAGUGUCAUCCAAUUGUAUCUUAUACUACAUCUAGUGAGGGAUUUUAUAAUUUUUUUAAUUACUCUUCACA
Molecule: long non-coding RNA, 604 nt
Organism: Vitis vinifera (wine grape)
Lineage: Eukaryota; Viridiplantae; Streptophyta; Magnoliopsida; Vitales; Vitaceae
Exons: 3
Source: RefSeq, a predicted model, not a curated record